This 52-nucleotide ribosomal RNA is filed under the name uncultured bacterium. RNAcentral describes it as "partial 16S ribosomal RNA". The record is from RNAcentral.
CCUAACCGCAAGGAGGGCGAUUACCACGGCAGGGUUCGGUGACGUGGGGUGG